CAGUGGGGGGGCCGUCAGGGGACCCGUGAGGGGACCCCUGUGAGGGACCCGCCGCCCCGGGACCCGCCGCCUCCCGCCCUCCACUGCCCUGAGAACCAUGUCCUGCUUCCCCUCCACGGGCAGCUUGUCUUCCCUCUAUGCCGAGCCGCCGAUUGACCCCUCAGUGUGUCCCCCUCAGUGUUUCGCCCACAGCUCCCUUUGCGCUCGUGUGAGGGAGGACGUGGCAGAAGGACAAGCAGCAAUGGACUCAAGGAGCAGCAAGGAAGUUUUGUUUUUUUAGACAUGAGGGAUUUUCAGUCUUCAGAACCGUCACAAGCAGCAAGUUAGGAGUACACAAAAACAAUGCAACUGAACUUUCACUGAGUUCUAUUCCUGCUUCCCAGGGUGCGUGGAAAGACCAACAACACUUCCAGUACUGGAGGUUUUGCACAAACCUUGGAAAGGAAAUAGCUGUCACCAGAGUUUAAGCCUGAUGUGCUCUAGCCACAUCUCACAACUGGCCACAACUGACCAGUACUGGUUAGUAUGUCUGUCUCUUGCUCAUUAUCUGUUUCAAAAAGGGGACCAAAUUUUUAAUUUUCAGCUAAUGUGGGUCUAAUUAAGGCUAUUCUGGUAUAUUUGAUACUAAAAUACUCUCUGGGAGUCCUUUUCCUGAAAUCCCGUCAGAAUUAACAUUUUCAAAAAUGAAAACAUUUAAAAUAGGUGUUCUGAGUUGAAAUGCUGAUGCAGCGGUUGGUUCAGUGUUUCCGUGUCCUCCGGAGCCGUAUCACGUCAGGAUGGUGUCAUCAAUCUGUUCCUCGGAGUCAGCCUGCCCAGCCAGCUUCCGCAGGGACCGCCGGCAGCUCUCGUUGAGGAGCUCCAGGCUGGCAGCAUCUAAAAUCUUGGAAACCGACUGUGGAAGGAAGGCAACACCAAUUACCAGCUCCUCACGACACACCACUCAAAGUAAGAAUAAGCAUAAGUGCCUUACAAGCUGCAUUUAGCUAAAAAUCUUUCGAAUAUACCAAAAUUCUUCAUCUGGUUUUACAAUUCCAGACAUGGGAACUAUCCAAAAGCAGGUCAGACUUAGAAAACAGGUCUGGAAAUGGAUGCAUGAAGUAGUCCAUUCUAAAAUACCCCCUAGCACCACUGCAGUGGGAUCAUACAAGUGGCCAAAGCAAUAAAUUAUCAGUGCCAACUGAGGGAACUCCAGCACAGGGGAGGCUUAAGGCAUUUGUCAAACAGGGGGGGUGCAUUAAAAGCCUUGAUUCUGUUAAUGCUGCACUGUAGGGUUGUGCAGUAUCAGUAUCACUUAUUUCUUCAGGGCUUAGCAUGAGAAUACUGCUGAAGGCCUAAAUGCAAAUAGGAAUGUCCCACUCCACCUACUUCAUAAGAGACUUCCAGUACAUUCUGAGGCUGCAGGCACCACAGACAAAUGCAGAGUGAGGUGACACAGCCUUGCUACCAACAAUGACAUUUCCUUGUGUCUCAUACCUCAAGCACGUCUUCACCCGCUCUCAUCUUCAGAAGGUUGACAAUAGCCUGGUCACUGUAGGCUCUUACACUGGUGUUUUUGUCCUUUGUGUUGUCCAGAAGCGCUUUGAGAAUUGGUUUAAUUGUCUGGGGAUCCAGUGGGGGAAGUUGGCUUUUAUUUGCCCACCAAAUCAUCUUUUCUGCAACUAAUUUUAUGUCACUGGAUGAGUUCUGAAGACACUGAAGGAUACAAAGGUGCAAUUAAAUUCAAGUAUACCAAGAACAGAGAUGAGAACUUGAAGAACCAGAACAGUUGUGUCAUUUCACCACAAAAACUGCACCUAGCCAAGGGAGAACCUCCAGAUGGCACUUGGGGGGUUUUGUCUUCUUUGGUAACACAAGAGAACCUGGUCACACAACCUUUCAAAGCUGCUCCCAACAAGAGCUCGUGACAGUGCUCACCCAUCCUCAGGCAGGACUCACCCUGUCAGCUGUGGCGUUGCUGAGGAUCAUCUCCUGAACGCUGUUGUAGUAUUUUGGGGAACACAGCCUGCCAGGAGCAACGUUCACAGCCACGGAGAGAGCCAGGCUCCGGCCGUGCCUCACCAUCCAGUCGAUGCCAGACACGUCUGCUGCAGAGGAAAGAAGAGAACUAUGGCAAGUCCCCCACCAUCCAUUCCUCUUCAUCUGAGGAGGCUUCUGGCAGUUUGUCAAUUCACUGCCAUAAAAUGAAAAAACAAGAAGCAUCUAAAGGGAUGCCUUGCUUCCUCCAUUCCUCCCAAAAAGAGCUAAAACACAACACCUGUACCAGGCAGGAACAGCACCUGGGCAGACAGGGAAGCACACACAAACAAGGGACUCUCUUGUUCAACUCAAGUACUUCUGAUGGUUGCAAAAUUAUACAGGCUUUGACUCUCAAAUAAAAUUGUAAAAGUCAUUUGUAAUUUGAUACCAGUUAACAGAUUCCCUUUUUAAUCCGUAGCACUCCCAAACACUAUGAGCUCCUAUAAAAUUUGUGGUUUUUUUCUAACUUGGACGCAAAUCGGUCAAUUCUUCAGAAGCAUGUGAAGCCACCACGUGUGGUCUGCAAUUACCAUAAGCCAAAAGGUGGGAUGGCCCUCCUGUCCACCCUUGCCUGAACAUCCUGUCACCUCCCACCCUCUCUGUGUCAGCACCAGAAAUUACUCAGCCAUGUUGGUACUUUUAUCAAGUCGUCUGAUAACAAAUCCAGGGAAAAAAGAGUCUGGCUAUCCCCAAAUGACAACCAGUACCCUGUGCUCACUGUGUACCAGGGUGCACAAAUUAACAGCCACGGGUAAAGAAACGCACAAGAAAAUACAGAGCAGAGAUUCAGUCACAAAGCCUGAACCAGUGGCUGAGAAGGAAUCUUGCCUGCUUUCAGAAUCGGUUCCAGUCCCUGUGAACAGCUUCACCUACCCAGUAAGUGCUGGUGGAGAACAGUGCUGAGCUCCUCGUCCGACAGGAACGCGCACAGCUCCGCGAGGCAGCCGGCCGAGGCCAUGCGGGUGGCGUCCUGAGGAGGAAUGGGAGAGCAGGAACACGGGUUGAGCUCAACACACCAGGGACAGGCAGCAAGCAGAGCAAGUGCCAGAAGAUGACAGGAAACAAAAAGAGAAGGAGGAAAUAAAUAGUAGUAUUUCACUCCUAAUCCCUGUGGAUUUCUGCCAGUUCACAAGGUUUCUUGUACAUAAUGGAACUUAAAGCCAAAUCCAUGGUCAAAAAAGCCAGCAGAGACUGAAGAAUUACAGAUCUUAUCUAAGUUCUGAUUUGUUAAAUGGAAAAGUCAUAAAGAUGAAAGUGAAUGCUUUAAAAGAUGUGUGCACAAGAGUUUACUUUAGAUUCACUUACUAUAAGUGUUACUUCUAGCCAUCUCUGGAUGAGCUCAUCUCUGUGAUAAACUCUUACUACUUUUAAUUUAACACUCCCAGGCUGUUGUUAUUUUGGCUUCCUUAUGUGACGAUCCCAUUACUGAUCUUCUCACUGAAACUUACAACCCAAUGGGAAUGUUUCAAUUUUUCUGUUUCUAGAAUGUCAACAGUUGCAUGUCUGUUGCACUGAUUGACAUAAGAAAGAAAUUAUUAGAUGAUUAAUUUUAAUCUCACAGAUGUUACUGUUGCUAUCUGCCAUAUAAAAAAGACCCUAUAUUAAACUUGGAGAGCUUCUUGCUUGUUGGAGAAAAAUCUGCCAUUAUCUGAAAAAUUUCUCACACUAAACAAUAAACCCCAGCUGAGAGGCUUCAAACACACAUCCGUGCUCACAGGGAGGGUACUGCAGGUUUUCUCCAAGAUAAAAAGCAAAUCCUGACUGUAGAGCUGGCUCAAACCUGUUGGUGAGGAGCUACAGGUCAAACCCACAUAAGCAGUUGCCAAGGAAACAUUAAACUGGCAGAUUUUCAGAGUUACCAAGGACUGGCCAGGGAUCUCCAAUUCUUGCUCCUGACUACAUCAUUAGGAAUUUCCUCGGAAGUUAUUUUAGAAAAUAACUCUGUUAGAAGGUUCAGAUCUUAAAUGUAAGAGAAAGACUGUCUUCAGUGGGGGUCCUCUGCAGCUGGCUGAAGCAGUACCUCAUCGUGUCCCAGCAUCCCGAGAAGCACCGUGCUGAUAUUCUUCCUAAUUGCAGCAUCUACUUUUGCACCAGCUCCUCGUGUCACAAACCGCAGCGCUUGCAGCAUCGUGUCCCUGGAAGAGAAAUUUUGCUCUGGAUACCUGCAGCAAAUUCUUGCACAGCAAUUACACUGAUAUGCCUUACAGUUUGGGAGACUGAUCCUCUCUGUGCACUGCUGAAAACUCCAUCCUAGAGAGUACUUCCAUGUUUCUGUACUUGUGUCUGUCUGUUACACUAUAGAUAUUUUCUGACUGU
Pipra filicauda (Wire-tailed manakin) is the source of this 4332-nucleotide long non-coding RNA. RefSeq lists it as uncharacterized. NCBI's taxonomy places the organism in Eukaryota, Metazoa, Chordata, Aves, Passeriformes, Pipridae. The record is from RefSeq and is a predicted model, not a curated record. The transcript is spliced from 4 exons.